Molecule: non-coding RNA, 24 nt
Filed under: Arabidopsis thaliana (thale cress)
Lineage: Eukaryota; Viridiplantae; Streptophyta; Magnoliopsida; Brassicales; Brassicaceae
Source: RNAcentral
AAACGGGACUAUUCAUGUUGUUGC